Molecule: long non-coding RNA, 1247 nt
Organism: Mustela erminea (ermine)
Lineage: Eukaryota; Metazoa; Chordata; Mammalia; Carnivora; Mustelidae
Exons: 4
Source: RefSeq, a predicted model, not a curated record
AUAAAAUGACAAGCUUCCAGCCUUCGGACUUGGAAAGGAAGGGAAGUUACUUAAAUCUAGUAUCUUCCAUAUGCCUGGGGCUAUUUCAAGAACAACAAAUCUCUGCGUGUUUAAAAACAGUGCUGUGGAAAUUAGAGCUACAGCAUUUUGUUCUGAAAAUAACUUGGACAGGAGAGGUGAACCAGUGGUACAUGUGCGGGCAAAGCUCUCUGACUUCACUGCACAAUCGUCUCGUCCUCUUAAACAACCAGCUCCCAGUUUCCACAAUACCCCUGUGUACAGAGGAAAGCCAAAAUUAAAAGGUCUCUUUAAUACUCAAGUGGCGAAUUUGGACACUUCCCCAAAGAAAAGAGAUGGGUAGCAACGAAGCACAUGAAAAGCUGCUCGACAACGUUAAUCAUUAAGGAAAUGCAGGUUAAAACCAGAAUGGCUCCAGUGAACAAACCUGACAUUACCAAGUGCUGAGGAGGAUGGGGAGCCCCGGGAAUUCAUACCCUGCUGGUGGGAAUGCAAAAUGGUAUGGCCACUUUGGAAAGCAGAGAGUGUUUCUUGUAACAUGUAACAUGCAUUUACUAUAUACUGCCCAGAAAUCCCACUCCUAUGUAUUUUACCAAGAGAAAUGGAUACAUUAAGUCUCUCCAUCCAAAAAAUCCAACAAACCAGAACAUAAAUGUGGCUUUCAUUGUAGUCACCCAAACCUGGCAACAACUCAAAUGUCUACCAACGGAUGAUGGAUAAUGAGUUAUAAUUGCUGGAAUACCAGUUAGCAAUAAAGAGGAAAGACCUGACACAUGCGGCUAAUGAAUGAAUUUCAGAUGCUUUCUGCUAAGUGAAAGAAACCAGACUCAAAAAGGCUACAUAUAGUGUGAUUGCACUUCUGUAACAUUGUGGAAAAGCUGGGACCCGUGGGGCUAGGGGAAAGCCUGCAAUGGCCCUGAGGCCGGGACUGGGAUUCCACUGCUGGAUUGUCAGCCACUCAGAACACAGACUUUCCUUAUCAGAAUCAGUAGACUGAAUGCAGCCGAGUGCCCUCAGCAGUGUGGGUAGGCCUCACUCAAUUCACUGAAACUCCAGGGACAGGAGCAAAUGUUGUUUUAAAGAGAAUUCACUUUCUCUUCCUGACUGCCUACUACCUGGGCUGUUGGCGCUCUCCUGCCUUUGGACUCCGACAAGAACUGGAGCUCUCCCUUUGGCUCUCCUGGGUUUCUAGCGUGCUGACUGUAGAUCCGGGACUAAUUGGUCUCCAU